AUCGUAACAAAGAAGAUGGUAGUCUCUAGCACCGAUGAAUUUCAGGCCACAGUUCAGAAAAGUUAUGACAAAAUGAGUGAGUUAAAAGCCUUUGAUGAUACAAAGGCUGGUGUCAAAGGACUCGUUGAUGCUGGAAUCACUAAAGUACCUCAAAUAUUCAUUCUACCACCAAAUAACAGGACGGAGUCCUUGGAUACAAGUGAAAAACAGUUCAUUUUCCCAGUCAUAGACUUUGAAGGUAUUGACGAGGACCCAAUAAAGCGUAAAGAGAUUGUGGGAAAAGUUCGAGAUGCAUCGGAGACAUGGGGUUUCUUCCAAGUGGUAAAUCAUGGCAUUCCAACAUCUGUUCUGGAAGGAAUGCUGCAAGGAACACGUGAGUUUUUUGAGCAAGAUAUAGAGGUUAAGAAACAAUAUUACACUCGAGAUAUCAUGAAGAAGGUGGUUCAUAAUAGCAAUUUUGAUUUGUAUAGCCCUUCGGUUCCAGCUGCAAAUUGGAGAGACUCCUUUUGCUUUUCAAUGGCUCCUAAUCCUCCCAGUCCAGAAGAAUUUCCAAGACCAUGCAGGUAUGUUUACCUAGUAAUUGAAUAUGUAGUUUUAACUAGAAGUUCGGUACUUAAGAGCCAAUCAAGCAUAGCAUUUCUCUUUUUAAGUAUCGAGAUGUGCUAUUUCAUUAAUUUUAUAAAAUUGCUGCAGGGAAAUACUAAUGGAUUACUCCAAGAAUGUGAUGGAAUUGGGCUGUUCCUUGCUUGGAUUAUUGUCAGAAGGUCUCGGUCUUGAUCCUUGUCAUCUCGAAGAUAUGGAUUGCGUGAAGGGGCUCGGUGUUGUGGGCCAUUACUAUCCACCAUGCCCUCAACCAGAACUCACCAUAGGCACCAAUACACAUUCUGAUAAUGAUUUUAUCACAGUGCUUCUACAAGAUCAUAUCGGAGGACUCCAAGUCCUUCACCAGAAUCAGUGGGUUGAUAUUCCUCCUACAUCUGCUGCUCUUGUGGUGAAUAUUGGAGAUCUUUUGCAGGCUAGUAUUCUUUUUCUUUUCGAGUCUUGUAUCGACUCAAUAAGAAUGAAAGUAACUCCUUAUUUGGUACUGAUACUAGUUGUGCUUAUAUUUUUUUCCACAGCUCAUUUCAAAUGACAAGUACACAAGUGUUGAACACAGAGUAUUGUCAAAUAAAGUUGGACCAAGAAUAUCAGUUGCAAGCUUCUUCACUACUGGUCCAUUUCCAUCUCCGAAGCUCUAUGGACCAAUUGCUGAAUUGUUAUCAGAAGAUAAUCCUCCGAAAUAUCGUGCAACCACAGUGACGGACUAUAGUGAUUACUUCCGUAAGAAGGGUUUAGAUGGAACUUCUGCACUGUUGCACUUCAAGAUCUAAUCCUAGUAAUGAAACAAUUAAAUGUAUGAUGAAUAUUACCGAGAAUUUAACUUUUUAUUAUAUCUUAAGCUGAAGUUUCAUAGAUGUUGAAACAUGAACUAUUAUGAUCUUUGCAAGAUCGUACUCGUGACUGAUAAGACUCAUAAUAUAGUGUGGUGCAGAAGGUUUAUGACGGAUAGAUGUAUUUCAUACUUACAAAAUGUUGUUUUCUCCCUUCCUCUUGUCUAAAAAUUACCCUUCUUAUGAAUUCAGACUCAUGUCAAAGGGUCUGCAUCUCAGUCCUAGUCAUCUCUGUUGAACUGUUUGUAAUCAUCUCGUCUAAAUUGUGGAUAAAUGUUCUAGCUGACCCUUGUAACCACUGUACCAUUUGACAUAUGCUGAUGAUACCGUUAUUUUUACUUCAAAUGUAUGGUAUGAAAAUUCGACAAGGCGGGGAGCAUUACAUCAUAUAGUAUAUCCAUUGGAUAGACCAUGUAAGGACGACUACACGCACAUGGAAAUUCAAAAGUUAACAGUGCCUGGAACAUGUUGAGACACAAAGAGCAGACAGACACAGACACAGUGAGUUCAAACACAACGAGCAGACUCAUCUGAUAUCCGUAUAUUUUUUUUCAGUGGUGGUGGUGGUGGGGGCAGUGGAUUCAGACAGUGACCAAAAGAAAGGGACUAAAAAUAAUUAACCCAUUUUCUUUUGUUUUCUUCUGCUUCAAAUAUCAAGUUUGUUGGUAUGAACUGUUAGAUGGUGACAAUUGUGGUCCAAAAGUCUAAAUUAGUGGCCCUUGUUCAUAAAGCAAACUAGAUUCAUCCCAAGUAUAUGAAUUUAAUAAUAGAUCAUUGACAAUAACUCUAACCAUUGUCCAAAAGUCUAAAUUAAUGGCUCAUUGAGCACUAAAUUGGAAACCUGAGUAAAAAAGGACAGCCUCGGUGCACUAAGAUCCCGCUAUGCACGAUAAAAAGGUCAUUAUAUGGGCAUUUUCGUCUUUCAACUUUUUUACUUUGGACCUUCCGACUUUUGAUGUAAAAAUAUAUGAUGAUAUGAUGGCCAUUAGGUACUAACUGAUCUCAGAAACUCUUGGUUCUUAACAUCCUAGCAAAGAAGAUGGUACUCUCCAGCACUAAUGAUUUUCAGGUCACAGUUGAGAAAAAUUAUGACAAAAUGAGUGAAUUAAAAGCGUUUGAUGAUACUAAGGCUGGUGUCAAAGGAAUUGUUGAUUCUGGAAUCACUAAAGUACCUCAAAUAUUCAUUCUACCACCAAAAAAAAGGCCGGAGUUAUCGGAUACAAAUGAAACACAGUUCAUUUUCCCUGUGAUAGACAUUGAAGGCAUCGAUGAGGACCCAAUCAAGCAUAAGGAGAUUGUGGACAAUGU
This 2738-nucleotide long non-coding RNA is filed under the name Solanum lycopersicum (tomato). RNAcentral's name for it is "long non-coding RNA (SLYC_LNC000715)". The record is from RNAcentral. Lineage: Eukaryota; Viridiplantae; Streptophyta; Magnoliopsida; Solanales; Solanaceae.